Terriglobus roseus DSM 18391 is the source of this 355-nucleotide non-coding RNA. It matches the Rfam family "transfer-messenger RNA". Rfam says of the family: Bacterial tmRNA, also known as 10Sa RNA or SsrA, is named for its dual tRNA and mRNA-like properties. Its role is to liberate the mRNA from a stalled ribosome. Lineage: Bacteria; Pseudomonadati; Acidobacteriota; Terriglobia; Terriglobales; Acidobacteriaceae. The record is from Rfam.
GGGGGCGUCAUGGUUUCGACGGGGUUGCUUGUGGCAGAGAGGCAUGCCGGGGUGGGUACACCCGUAAUCGCGCCCAAAACUAUAAGUGCCGAACCUCAGUUCGCUCUUGCUGCUUAAUUAGUUAAGUAGCCGAUCGCUCAAGCUUCGCCUAUGGGCCUGUACCGAUCGUCGCACAGUAGGCUGGUCAAAGCUGUUCCGUCUGUACGGCAAUGACGAGAUCGAUCAGACUGGUCGCCGGCGCAUCUUCGUCCGUUCUAAGUUCCGGUGACGAGACAAAAAUGAACCAGGAAAAAGCAUGAAAGCUCUCUGUCGUUGGUUUCUUCGGACGGGAGUUCGAUUCUCCCCGCCUCCACCA